UGUUUGUUAGUUUUAUCCUUGAAAACUUAUUUGCAAUUUAUGGGUCUUUCAUCCUUCAUGCAAUUCAAUCAAGUUUUAAAACAUGAUUUCCAAACAUGCACUAGUAGAAAAAACGAAAUAGACACCCCUCCUUUAGCACCGGUUCUUGAAAACCGGUGCCAAAAGAAAUGGGUGGGAUUAAAAAAUUCAGUGUUUGCACCGGUUCCAACCAAAACUGGUGCCAAUCAUUUAAUUAGCACCGGUUCAAACCGGUGCCAACUUAUAAAAAAAAUAAAAUAAAUAAAUAAAUAUGGCAUAGAGUUGGCACCCGUUCCCCUUAAACCGGUGCCAACUAUGUUAUUAUUAAAAAAAAUAAAACCAGGUCUGAGCUAGCUUCUUCGUUUUCAUUUCAUUUCCUCGAUCUUUCAUCUUCUCAUCUGAUCUGCCUCUCUCUCUCCUCCAUUGAAGCGUAGCCGAAUUUCUCCAUUGAAGGUGCUUCUGAGCUUUCCUAACACUCCUUCUCUCUCCUUCGAUCUCCUUCUAUAACCACCACUUUCCCUUUCCUUUCUUCUCUCUUUCGAUCUCCUUCUCUCUUUCUACAAUAUUGGAGGUUAGGGUUUCUAGGUGCGUCUAUUUUGAAUCAAUUCGAUGUGCGUGCGUCUUUAGCAACAACAAAUUCGAAUCAAUUUCGAAACAAAAAUAAGAAAUUCGAGGUUAGGGUUUCUGGGUUAUUUAGCUUUGCGUUAUAUUGUGGCAGUUCUGAGCUUUCUCCUCCAUUGAAACAACUUUUGAGGCAAAAAGAGCUGGAUAUGUUGAUGAAGGUUAAGGAAGUAAAAGGGUGUGUGGGUAAGGGGAGUGAUAAUGAUGAUGAUGGUAUUCGAAAGAAAGUUUUGGAAAAACUCGACAAUGAAUUAGCCAAAGGCGAUGAAAGAGCCGCCCUUUUCUUGGUCAAACAAUCCCUUAUACAACCUGGUAUCCUCCGCUGCUUUGGCGCUGCUCGCCAGGCAUUGUAGAAUGUACAUACUCUCUUGGUAUUUGAAGGAGGAGCCUCUGCUUUGUACUUCUUAGCAAUUGUUUCAGUCUGGUUUUCAUAUCUAGCUGUUGAUUUUAUGAUAAGACGGGUGCCAAUGACUUUCUUGGCUUUAUUACAUUUAUUUCCAUUGUUUAAUGGUCUGGUUUCCAUUUCUAUGGUCUUCUUGAUCAUAUGAUAUAGCUGAUGUUGGGAGUAUUAUGGUGAUAAUGACUUUUAGUUAUUGCUGUGUCCUCUUAUGUCUCUGCUCUCCUCAACUGCUGUUCUUCAUAGUUGCCAUAUUUAUGUUGAUUGGUUUUUCCCUAAGUUUUUUUUUUUCUAAAUGGAAUCAUCUGUACUGGGUCUGUGUUCCACACCACAUAGUUUCAGAUUCAAUUUUCUAUUGCUCGUUCCGAUGGAAGUUAUUGAUGAGACAUUUUAUUAAUGGCAUGAUGGUGAAAUAUGAGAGCUCUACUCCAUAUAGGGUGUCAUUUAUUCAAAUUGCACUUUAUUUGAUUGUUUUUUUUAUUUGAACUUUCAUUACCAUUUAGUUUGAUGGGGUGGUCAAUUAACACCACCUUGAUUGUGUGAUAGAAAGAUGCUUUGCUUAUAGGAUUUGCUGAUUUUUCCUGAACUUUUGUGGCUGAAUUUUCACAUCAGGUUUUUGUCUUACUUUGUUGUUUAUUGGGUAAUUAUUUGCUGACAAUUUGUUCCUACUCUAGGAGUUGGGCUGCUCUUCUCUUUAUCUAUCACGGUCUAUGUUUCUAUCUUCUUUUUUAAUCUAUAUUGCAUCUGCUUCAAGGAAAGUUCAGGUCCUCGUCAAUUGUUAACAGGAUUCUCCAGCCUUAAGAAUUUGUGGUCUGGUAAUGUUAGUGAGUUUUAGGGGUGCCUUCAUCAUGGAUAUUGCUUAUUGUAUUUUGAGCUCUAAUUUGCGAAUUUGUCCUUGAUUAUACUGUCAAUAUGUUAUUUGUGAUUAUGGGGUGGCAAGUUGUGCUAAGUUCAUCUUUAUCCUGUCUUCUGAAAUUUUACCUUUUCUUGUUUCUGCUGCCCAAGCAUCUUCUGGUGCAAUACAUAGUGUGCUAUACUUUAUUAAGCAUGCAUUUUGCUUCAGCCUUCAGGUUCAUGCUUCAUCUUAUGAUUUUAUAGGAUCAGGGUUUUUUUUUUUUUUUUUUUUGGGUGGUACUUGGCUUAACGCUUGUAGCUGUGAUGAUCUAUGGUAUUGACAUUGCUUUAGCAUCGCGUUGGGAUUUCAUAAAAAUUGAAGGUUAGAGUUCUUCUGAGCUCUAUCGUGAAUGUAUCCUAACAGUGUCAACUAGCUUGCGGCGCGACAUUACGUGUAACAUAGCCCCUUUCUUGUCAUUUAAAAAAUCUAGGGAGUUUCUAAUCCUUUACUUGGAUUUGUUUCUUGCCAAUUUCUUUUGGUGUUACAGUGGCUGGAGUUCUCAAUGGCAUGCAUCAUUCUUUUGGUGCUGCUUGUAGAUUAUGGUUUCUUGAACUCGGGUUAAUGGGUUUUGCCUAUCAUUGUGUCGAUUCUGCUUGGAUUUGCUCUUCUAAGGAGCUUGCAAAUAUCGGGUUUAUGUUGCUCUAGAUUUUGACUAUUUGGUGUAACGCUGUGACUACUGGAAAUUCACAUUCGAUGAUGAUAUUUUUAUGUUCAAUUAAUCUUACGGCCUUGGUGAUAUCAGGGUCAUGUUCUAUUGGAUUGGGUUUAAAUUUGUUGGGAAAUAUUAGGUGAAGGUGGAUCCUCAGGUUGCUGCAAUCAUGCAUUUUGGGAAGAUGUGAUGGAUACAUAUUAAGAAUGCUUGAACAGCCACAGAAGCAGAACAGCCACAACCAUCAGAGCAGAAACACAGCCACAGCCACCAGGGCAGAAACACAGCCACAGCCAGCAGAGCAGCCACCAACACAAGACCAGGACAGCUAGUUAAAUGAAAUGCAAGAAAGGUCGAUAAGAGAUAAGUCUGGAUUAUUUAAUUUUUUGGACGAAAAUUGUAAUAUUACAGCCUUUUUUAAUGAA
Chenopodium quinoa (quinoa) is the source of this 3005-nucleotide long non-coding RNA. RefSeq lists it as uncharacterized. Lineage: Eukaryota; Viridiplantae; Streptophyta; Magnoliopsida; Caryophyllales; Amaranthaceae. The transcript is spliced from 3 exons. The record is from RefSeq and is a predicted model, not a curated record.